RNAcentral lists this ribosomal RNA (253 nucleotides) under uncultured bacterium. RNAcentral describes it as "partial 16S ribosomal RNA". It matches the Rfam family "Bacterial small subunit ribosomal RNA", at positions 524 to 776 of the family's 1533-position model. The record is from RNAcentral.
UACGUAGGGCGCAAGCGUUGUCCGGAAUUAUUGGGCGUAAAGAGCUCGUAGGCGGCUUGUCACGUCGGGUGUGAAAGCCCGGGGCUUAACCCCGGGUCUGCAUUCGAUACGGGCAGGCUAGAGUGUGGUAGGGGAGAUCGGAAUUCCUGGUGUAGCGGUGAAAUGCGCAGAUAUCAGGAGGAACACCGGUGGCGAAGGCGGUUCUCUGGGCCUGUACUGACGCUGAGGAGCGAAAGCGUGGGGAGCGAACAGG